This 303-nucleotide ribosomal RNA is filed under the name uncultured bacterium. RNAcentral's name for it is "partial 16S ribosomal RNA". It matches the Rfam family "Bacterial small subunit ribosomal RNA", at positions 507 to 807 of the family's 1533-position model. The record is from RNAcentral.
AGCAGUAGCCACGGGAAUACGAAGGGUGCAAGCGUUAAUCGGAAUUACUGGGCGUAAAGCGUGCGUAGGCGGUUUGUUAAGUCUGUUGUGAAAUCCCCGGGCUCAACCUGGGAAUGGCAAUGGAUACUGGCUCGCUAGAGUGUGUCAGAGGAUGGUGGAAUUCCCGGUGUAGCGGUGAAAUGCGUAGAGAUCGGGAGGAACAUCAGUGGCGAAGGCGGCCAUCUGGGACAACACUGACGCUGAGGCACGAAAGCGUGGGGAGCAAACAGGAUUAGAUACCCCCGUAGUCCCUGUCUCUUAUAC